GAUGAACGCUGGCGGCGUGCCUAAUACAUGCAAGUCGAGCGAACGGACGAGAAGCUUGCUUCUCUGAUGUUAGCGGCGGACGGGUGAGUAACACGUGGAUAACCUACCUAUAAGACUGGGAUAACUUCGGGAAACCGGAGCUAAUACCGGAUAAUAUUUUGAACCGCAUGGUUCAAAAGUAAAAGACGGUCUUGCUGUCACUUAUAGAUGGAUCCGCGCUGCAUUAGCUAGUUGGUAAGGUAACGGCUUACCAAGGCAACGAUGCAUAGCCGACCUGAGAGGGUGAUCGGCCACACUGGAACUGAGACACGGUCCAGACUCCUACGGGAGGCAGCAGUAGGGAAUCUUACGCAGUGGGCGAAAGCCUGACGGAGCAACGCCGCGUGAGUGAUGAAGGUCUUCGGAUCGUAAAACUCUGUUAUUAGGGAAGAACAUAUGUGUAAGUAACUGUGCACAUCUUGACGGUACCUAAUCAGAAAGCCACGGCUAACUACGUG
RNAcentral lists this ribosomal RNA (497 nucleotides) under uncultured bacterium. Its description in RNAcentral is "partial 16S ribosomal RNA". It matches the Rfam family "Bacterial small subunit ribosomal RNA", at positions 28 to 507 of the family's 1533-position model. The record is from RNAcentral.